AUUGAACGCUGGCGGAAUGCUUUACACAUGCAAGUUGAACGGCAGCACGGGGCAACCUGGUGGCGAGUGGCGAACGGGUGAGUAAUAUAUCGGAACGUGCCCAAUCGUGGGGGAUAACGUAGCGAAAGUUACGCUAAUACCGCAUACGAUCUACGGAUGAAAGCGGGGGAUCGCAAGACCUCGCGCGAAUGGAGCGGCCGAUAUCAGAUUAGGUAGUUGGUGGGGUAAAGGCUCACCAAGCCAACGAUCUGUAGCUGGUCUGAGAGGACGACCAGCCACACUGGAACUGAGACACGGUCCAGACUCCUACGGGAGGCAGCAGUGGGGAAUUUUGGACAAUGGGCGCAAGCCUGACU
RNAcentral lists this ribosomal RNA (356 nucleotides) under uncultured bacterium. Its description in RNAcentral is "bacterial SSU rRNA". It matches the Rfam family "Bacterial small subunit ribosomal RNA", at positions 30 to 388 of the family's 1533-position model. The record is from RNAcentral.